CCGCAACGAGCGCAACCCCUAUCUUUAGUUGCCAUCAGGUUGGNCUGGGCACUCUAGAGAGACUGCCGGUGACAAGCCGGAGGAAGGUGGGGAUGACGUCAAGUCCUCAUGGCCCUUAUGUCCUGGGCUACACACGUGCUACAAUGGCGGUGACAGUGGGAAGCUAGGUGGUGACACCAUGCUGAUCUCUAAAAGCCGUCUCAGUUCGGAUUGCACUCUGCAACUCGAGCGCAUGAAGGUGGAAUCGCUAGUAAUCGCGGAUCAGCAUGCCGCGGUGAAUACGUUCCCGGGUCUUGUACACAC
This 303-nucleotide ribosomal RNA is filed under the name uncultured bacterium. RNAcentral describes it as "bacterial SSU rRNA". It matches the Rfam family "Bacterial small subunit ribosomal RNA", at positions 1087 to 1390 of the family's 1533-position model. The record is from RNAcentral.